CGUCCUCCCUCUACGACCUCACCAACGUGGACACCACCACAGACAACUCAGUGCUGGAAAUCACUGUCUACAACACCAACAUCGACAACCGGCAUGAGAUGCUGACCCUGGAGCCCCUGCACACGCUGCUGCAUAUGAAGUGGAAGAAGUUUGCCAAGUACAUGUUCUUUCUGUCCUUCUGCUUUUAUUUCUUCUACAACAUCACUCUGACCCUCGUCUCGUACUACCGCCCCCGGGAGGAGGAGGCCGUCCCGCACCCCUUGGCCCUGACGCAUAAGAUGGGGUGGCUGCAGCUCCUAGGGAGGAUGUUUGUGCUCAUUUGGGCCAUGUGCAUCUCUGUGAAAGAGGUAAGUGGGCCACCCGGCCCUUCCAGACCGCCGCACGAGGCAGGCAGGUGACGGCCUCCAUCCCUCUCUGCUGUGCCAUUACUGCUGGGGGGCCUGGGGAGGCGUUUCCUUCCCAAGCCUUACUUUUCUGAGUUAUAACAUGGGAAAAAAUGGAUAAGGUUGGCCUAUCCUACCUACUUCAUCCAUCUACUUCUCUAUCCAUCUGCCCAACUAUCCGCCAUUUAUCUACCUUCCCAGUCACUCUGUGUCCCUCGUCCUCUUCCAUCCCCAUCCACCCAUCCGAUCACCUGCCCUCUUUCAUGGACUCAGCCACUCAUUCAUCCAUUU
This 674-nucleotide small RNA is filed under the name Pongo abelii (Sumatran orangutan). Its description in RNAcentral is "retained intron". Lineage: Eukaryota; Metazoa; Chordata; Mammalia; Primates; Hominidae. The record is from RNAcentral.